RNAcentral lists this unclassified non-coding RNA (339 nucleotides) under soil metagenome. Its description in RNAcentral is "partial contains 5.8S ribosomal RNA, internal transcribed spacer 2, and large subunit ribosomal RNA". The stretch from base 1 to 120 matches the Rfam family "5.8S ribosomal RNA", at positions 35 to 154 of the family's 154-position model. The record is from RNAcentral.
GAUGAAUAACUUAGUGAAAUGCGAUACGUAGUGUGAAUUGCAGAAUUCAGUGAAUCAUCGAAUCUUUGAACGCACAUUGCACCUCUCGGUAUUCCGGGAGGUAUGCCUGUUCGAGCGUCAUUUGUACCCUCAAGCUCUGCUUGGUGUUGGGUGUUUGUUCCGCCUCUGUGUGUGAACUCGCCUCAAAACAAUUGGCAGCCGGCGUACUUGUUUCGGAGCGCAGCACAUUUUGCGAUCCAGAUCAACGUACAGCGGCAUCCAAGAAGCCUUAUUUAACGCUCUUGACCUCGGAUCAGGUAGGGAUACCCGCUGAACUUAAGCAUAUCAAUAAGCGGAGGA